UACAGAACCCGCAAGCGUUAUCCGGAUUUAUUGGGCGUAAAGCGUUCGUAGGCGGUUUGGAAAGUCUGGCAUUAAAUACUGGGGCUCAACUCCAGACGUGUGCUGGAAACUUCCAAACUUGAAGAUGCUAGGGGCUAUCGGAACGCACGGUGUAGGGGUGAAAUCCGUUGAUAUCGUGCGGAACGCCAAAAGCGAAGGCAGAUAGCUAGGGCAAUCUUGACGCUGAGGAACGAAAGCGUGGGGAG
RNAcentral lists this ribosomal RNA (245 nucleotides) under uncultured bacterium. RNAcentral describes it as "partial 16S ribosomal RNA". It matches the Rfam family "Bacterial small subunit ribosomal RNA", at positions 524 to 768 of the family's 1533-position model. The record is from RNAcentral.